UACAGAGGUCCCAAGCGUUGUUCGGAUUCACUGGGCGUAAAGGGUGCGUAGGUGGCCGGUUAAGUCUGACGUGAAAUCUCCGAGCCUAACUCGGAAACUGCAUCGGAAACUAUCCGGCUCGAGGGUUGGAGGGGGGACUGGAAUUCCUGGUGUAGCGGUGAAAUGCGCAGAUAUCAGGAGGAACACCGGUGGCGAAGGCGGGUCUCUGGGCCGUAACUGACGCUGAGGAGCGAAAGCAUGGGGAGCGAACAGG
This 253-nucleotide ribosomal RNA is filed under the name uncultured bacterium. RNAcentral's name for it is "partial 16S ribosomal RNA". It matches the Rfam family "Bacterial small subunit ribosomal RNA", at positions 524 to 776 of the family's 1533-position model. The record is from RNAcentral.